This 72-nucleotide transfer RNA is filed under the name Bos taurus (domestic cattle). RNAcentral's name for it is "tRNA-Glu (TTC) (tRNA-Glu-TTC-11-1)". It matches the Rfam family "tRNA". From Rfam's summary of the family: Transfer RNA (tRNA) molecules are approximately 80 nucleotides in length. RNAcentral also lists the same sequence under 5 other names. The record is from Rfam by way of RNAcentral. Lineage: Eukaryota; Metazoa; Chordata; Mammalia; Artiodactyla; Bovidae.
UCCCUGGUGGUCCAGUGGUUAAGACUCAGCACUUUCACUGCUGGGGCCCAGGUUCGAUCCCUGGUCAAGGAA